AGAGUUAGAGAGAGAGAGAGAGAGAGUGGAAGGGGGAGAAAGACAAGAAGAGAGUCGCAUUGAGACAGACAGAUGGAGGAGAAGCAUGUAGCAGCAGCAGCAGAGGAGGAGGAGGAGGAGGAGAAACAAAGCGUGUUGACUGAGGAAGUGUUCAUGCCAUGCAGGCCAUGUGCUCAGCCUGAACUUCCUCUAGAUGCACAUCAGUGAAAAAGGCGGUGCAGACGUGCUGAUGGAGGCUCUGCUGUCCUGCUGAAAAUCCAGGCGAUGUGGCCACAGCUGCAGGAGGACGAGGUUUCCGUUCAGGACUCUUUAAAUCACUGCUGAGUGAAGGGGGAAGCAGGAUUCCCCUCUGUGAAGCUGCUGAAACAAGAGGAGAAACUUAAAGGAAAGGACACCGGGGACGCUGGGAAGAAGCGGGGGGAUCCCUGGGUCCAGCGCCGGGAGGAACUCUCACCCAGACGGGUAAGUGAAAAAAGAAAGAAUGAAAAAAAUGGAAAGUAAGAGCUGCUUCUGCUGCUGUUGAUGGAUAUCAUAUGUUACAAGUUAAGGUUGAGAAACUGCUCCCAGAUCUUUAAUGGGAACAGUGCCGGUCUGUGGGCUGUCAGUGGAGCCUGAUAGGGGAGAAAUGCCUCUUUUUUUUUCUUUCCUUUUGGUUCCCGAUCACCUACAUUUGUGUCGUUACCUCACGGUGUGAUUACAGAAGAGCUGAUUCACCGUUACACAGUCUGGCCGACGUUCAGGACGGUGGAUUAGGCUCAGUGUGCUGCAGCGACAGAGCCUCAUCCGAGAUGAGAAGCCAUGUGACUAAAAUAGGUUUUCUGUGGUUAAUAGGCUUCUUUUUUUCAUACAGAGGCUCCACUUCCUCUCGCUGCCUCAGUCACGCUGUGUCUCAGCCCCCACCUCCGCCCCACACAGUCCACUCCUUCUGCAGCAGAGGGCAUGAAUGAACUGAGGCUGGGUGGAGGUGGAGGCGGUCUGGGGUGGCGUUGGUGGGGAUACAGUAUCAUACGGCACGGACGAGCGCCGUGCGGCUUCUUUAUGAAUGGACGGCCGACGCGAUUGGCCGAGCUAGAGUGACGACAGCAUCGCAGAGCCGAUGUUUAGAUCCGUUCGUCGCCGCCACUGCCGUAUCUCCCGGUUACCACCUCUUAAAGCUGCAUCGGAGUGCAUGCGGGUGAAUCAGUGGUUCUGGGUGACAUGUGUUUGCCCAGCCGAGGCUUAGUCACAACCUGAAACAGUGGGGAGUGUGUCUUAGAGCUGGGGAUUUCAAAAAAAAAAAAAAAAAAAGAAGUGGUGGCUGUUGUUCUUCAAAUUAUCUCCCACUCUGUGUGACUAAGGCGACGGUCUCUGCAGCCAUCGUUUGUCAUGUGAUGAGAGGUCUGCACGCUGCAAAAAGAGAACUUAAAACAACUGCCAACACGCAAUUCAACUGCAGAUUAAGUUACAUUAGUGCCACGGGUUUAAGUUAGAGCUGCUUCUCAAAUAAAACGAAAAGUUUGUAUUGCCUUUCUCAAAAUGGAAAAUCAUAAAUCACCGCGAUCAUAAACUGUAAAAACUGAACAUUUAUGAUAACUGCUAUUUGAAGGAUUUCUCCAUGAUUUGUUCAAUCACAGAUAAUAACGAACAAAAUCUCAGAAAAAUAAGUAUUAAUUCACACGUUUAUGGUAAAGAGAAACAGGCCAAACCUUUAGAUAAUUAAAUAAUUACAGUUAUUAAUUUAAAAAAUCUGUAUUUUCACAAAUUAAUUCAUUCUUUUACAAUGUUUAACUGCAAAAUGACACUUUUAACUGUAUUUUGAUCAGCAGAAACUGUCAUUAUUUCACACAUAUUUGCAAUUCCUUUGAAGAAAAUUGUACAUAUUAAGCUCUGAAAAAUAGUAAAUGUCUCAACCUUCAGUCCCUGUUUUCUUUGGAAAUAGUAAUUCAUUCGUUGACCGCAAAAUUACACAAUAUUUACUGUAUUUAAAUCAGCAAAAGAUAUCAUUAUUUUACAAAUAUAUGAGAGAAAAAUCAUGUAUAAGCAUUUAAAUUGCUUAUUACAAAUGGUAAUUCAUUAUUUCACAUUUAACAAUAAAAUUACUUAAUUUUUGCUGUAUUUAAAUCACCUAAAAUAUCAUUAUUAGAAACAUAAUUGUUUUUCAAAAGAAAAAUUAGACAUAUUACAUACAUAAAUAGAUAUUAAGUAUUUAAAAUUGGAAAUAUUUCAACCUUCAGUGCCUGUAUUUUUAUUCAUGAUAAUUCAUUCUUUUGCAACAGUCAAAUGUAAAAUCACAUAGUAUUUACUGCAUUUCAAUCAGCAGGAAUGUCAAUUAUUUUAUAAAUAUUUGCUGUGAUUUAAGAGAAAGAUUAUGUAUAGUACGCAUUGAAAUGAUAAAUAAUUUACCUGUCAUUCUUCAGCCUUUGUAUUUAUACUAAUAAUAUUUCGUUCCUUUACAGUGUAUGACCAUGAAAUUUCACUAUUUUCACUGUAUUUGAAUCCGCUACAAAAAUCAGAAUUAACAGAAGAUAAUUGCUGUUAUUUGAAAUUUAAAAAUAUGCAUAUUAAGUAUUGACAAAAUAUAAAUAUUUCAGACUUCAUCCCCUGUAUUUUCAUGAAUAGAAAUUUUGUUCUUUUACAAUGUUUGACCAUAAAAUAACACUAUUUUAACUGUAGUCAAAUCAGCAAAAAUUAUCAUUAUUUAAUAGAUAUUUGCUGUUAUUGGACAGAAAUUUUUUUUUAUAUUAGGCUUGGGAAAAUGCACAAUUGCGCAAU
This is a long non-coding RNA of Amphiprion ocellaris (clown anemonefish), 2751 nucleotides long. RefSeq lists it as uncharacterized. The transcript has 4 exons. The record is from RefSeq and is a predicted model, not a curated record. Lineage: Eukaryota; Metazoa; Chordata; Actinopteri; Pomacentridae.